Brassica napus (rape) is the source of this 4757-nucleotide long non-coding RNA. RefSeq lists it as uncharacterized. The transcript is spliced from 2 exons. NCBI's taxonomy places the organism in Eukaryota, Viridiplantae, Streptophyta, Magnoliopsida, Brassicales, Brassicaceae. The record is from RefSeq and is a predicted model, not a curated record.
GUUAAAAUAAAACGAAGCCUUGUUAUAAUAAAACUUGCAGAAAUAGUUCAAACAGCCACAACGACAUUAAUGUAACAAUAAAAUAGAGAGUUUUGUUUUUUUUUUUUGUCACAAAGAGAGUUUUGUUUAGUAAGUAUAGUAAGUGGGGAUAUUGCUUCGGCAACUAUAGCUAUGCCAUGCGGGACUUCUUUUUCGAUUCUCAUGUGGGUCAAGUAUGGGAAUUGGGAAUGGUAGAUGCAGAGCGAACUAAUCCUGCAACAAUAGAUGAGGAUGGCUGAUGGUUGGCAGUUGUAGUUUCACCACCUUCUGCUCGCACACCACUUGCUACCUCUGCCAAAGUGUUAUCAGCACCAAGAAAGCCAUUAGAUGCUACCAGUUUCUCCAUAGGCACAUCAUCACUAGGUUCCUGACCAUCUUCCUGGUGAUAUCAAAGUGAUUAAGAUGAAUAUAUAAUUCAAAGAAAUGUAGAAAAAAUCUCAGUAUUAGGUACCAACAUGUAUAACAAAGUCUGGGAAUGGUGGAUGCUGAUUCUCACUGAUGAUACGGGGUAUGGUGAAGGUCUAGUGCUUGGAUGUGAAAUUGAACUUGACUAACUUGAGCUGAAAUAUGCAAGUUUUUUCCACAAUAUCAGAGAUAAUCUGGGGGAUCUCGUUGUAUACAUGAGCAUUCACACCUGUACCUUGAACUCAGUGAUGGAUGAAAACAUAAUUUAAUAAUUGAUAUAACAUAAAUAUUAAGGUGGGUUUCAUUGCUAUACUCAGAUGUAAGAGAAUUAAUUAAAAUUAAAUGCUUGAAAGAGGGAACCUAUACCAAAAUCUGAGCAGCUUCAAAUGCUUGAAUGCUUGUUAACUUUACAAUUUCCAUAUCAAAGGCCACAAACACAGCAUCAUCCUUCAGGUCUGAUACAGACAGCUCCACGCGGUGCCUGUAGUGAGUGAAUAGACACAAAGUGUAUUGUAGAGUGAGGAAAAUUUGGAAGGUAGCUAUAAUAUCAUGGAUAGCAGAGCUUAAGUAUUGUUACCUGAGGGCAGUCACAAAGUUGGUUUUAUCACAGAAAAGGCAUGUGAAAGAAGAAAUCUCUCACUGUAGCUUUGUUGAACAUUUCGAGCUUCCAAUAUAACACCAUCCUUUAUCUGUCUGAGUACCAUUAACUUUGGCGGUACACAGAAUAAUCUGUUAUAAGUCAGAGACAAUUACAAUUAGAAGUGAUAAAUGCGAGAGUAACAUGAGAGUGUUGUAAAUUUGACCUGAGGCUCAGAUGUGAUAACAUAUUUGUUUAGCUCAGGUAUGGUGAGUGGUUCUAUUUUCUGGGCGUGAAGCAACUUUGAUGAAGAGGGUGUCUGGUUAGAGCCAUCCCCAAUCAAUCUAAAGAGUUUUAAUGUGGUAGCUUAGUUAAAGUGAGGCAAAAUCAUAUGGUAAGAUAUUUAAUGAACUAACCACUAUGUAAUCUGUUAUUAAAAUUAGAGAUACUUACUUUUCAUAGUUUUCUUUUCCGGCAGCUGCUCAGUGUCAAAGUAGAGAUGGUUUCCAGAUGUCCUGUUGAGGAAUAACAGGCUUCAUACUAGGGUGUUUGAUUAUUAAAAAAAAGGUUAAUAUGAGAACACAAUAUAUACAAUGCAGUCGAGAACAUGUAGGGAUUAAUGCAUGAGAGAUUAUAAAUAUUCAGAUUUCUCACCUCCUACAAGCUUAGGGUUUAUGCUAGUAACCAACACAACUUUUGGCUCAGAGCCGUAGCUGUCCAAUUUGCUAUGAAAUGCGAAAGCUAAACCGUCAAACAGGCUAACACAUACAUUCACGUCCCUGUGUAGAUUCAAUGUUAAUAAUAUUCAUAAAAUCUAAGUUCAGAUAUACAGUCAAAAACGAUUAAAUCUACAAUUGAAUUCCAUGUACACAAAGUACCUUAUGUAGCGUAAGCAUGACACACUAUGAACCGUGUGUUCCAUCAUUGAUGAUAGCAAUUAACUCACCAAGUAUAUCUUGCAAGCAAUGUUUUUAAAUCCGACCCGGACACUGAACCGGACGACUUACCGGAUUGCUGGGUUACUGGGUCGACCGCGGAUGAACCGCGGGUUAAUAAAUAAAUUAAUUUUAUUAUAUAAUAAUAUAUCAGCUAUGUAAAAUAAAAAAAUAGAAACUAAAGUUUAAAUUUUCUAAAUGUUUUUUAAAACAUAAAAUAAUAGUUUGGAUAUGUAUAUAUUUUAUGUUUAAAAACUUUUAGAAAAUACUUAACUUUUAUUUUUAUAUUUUUAUUUUUAUUUGACAUACAAAAUAUCAAAAAGUAGUUUAGACUAUUUAAAAUUUUUUCCAACAAAGUAAGAUUUACGACAUCUAAAAAAUCAAGACAUAAAAUUUAUAAAUAUUUAAAUGUCUAAUUGAAUAAUAAAUUAAACUUCAAAUACAAAAUAAACCAAAAAUAAAAGAUCAUUGUAAUAAAAUGUCAAUAACGGAAAUAAACUAACACCAAAUCACAUCAACUAAUUUUAGUUAUCUCUACCAUCGUUCACUUCAUUUUCUUCAGGUGGCAUAGUGAAACUGAAAUCUUCAUCAAAAUCUAAAAAUCACAAAUAUAAAACUGAAAAAGAAAAACUUAACUUUUUUUUGCCAGCACCUAACUUCUUAAUUGUAAACUUAGAAUAUAAAACAUAAUCUAAAAACUUAAUCAAAACUUAAAAAAAUGAAGUAAAAGUUAUUUAUUGGUUCGACCGGUGGUUCAACCGUUAUCAGGUUCCGGGUUUUACUGGAUUUUUACGGGUAUUUACGGGUUUUUAAAUAUUGGGUUUUUCAUAAAAUCCAAACCGGAUUUUUUCUUGGUUACCGGGUUUACCGGUUCAACCGCGGGUCCGGGUCGGGUUUCAAAACACUGCUUGCAAGUUUACUAGUCCAAUGGGGUGAAUAAUACGGUUACAACUUGUUGAGCAGUCAGAUAUAGAAGAUCCAAAGCAUACAUGGUAGUUGUUUAUUGGUAUUUGCCAGUGCCAAUAGAUCGUUGUAGCUGUGGAAUCUUCACCAUAUUGGACUUUUUAUCCUCAAGUUAAUCACCACCCGGCCAUAAGUCCUUGUUAUCUAUCUAUCUAUAUCUAUUAUAAUAAAGUAGGAUUGUCUAUCUCCUCCUGCGUCCACGUCAUCAAGGAAGAAGGAGCAUUUUUGGACAUGUGUCCUCUCUCUUUUACGUGAUCUUUGUAAUUGUUAUUUUAACUUUUUGGGCUACUAAUGUUUUUUUCGUUUAUGGGCUCUUCAUAGAUGGCCCAUCUCUUUCUAGGGUUUUUGCUUGCUGCGACCAGGACUCGGCUCCUUCUCCAAAUCUCUUCGUCUUCUAGAAACUCAGACCAUCACCUCUGUAACGUCAUCCGUUUGUGGCUUCGAUCUCAUCAUUUACUGCUUACCCAUUACUCAUUCCACUCUCUCUAAAUUAAACAUCGUCAUUAUCAUCAAAAGAGGCCGCCUGAGACUCUUCACUAUAAAAUGGUACCUUCUCAGAGAUGAAUAGCCACAGUUGUACGAGAUCUCUGCUUACGCGUUUAGUGACGUUACACAGAGCGAUAACAAAUUUCGGCUCUCUGAUGCCGGAAUUACAAUGGAAAGAUGUCUGGCUGCACCACCAUGGACCGUCGUAUGAUAUCCAAGCUUGACAGUACUUCUUGCUCUAUCUUGAAGAUCUCUUGUAAGUCUUUCUACAUUUAAUCUGCAUAAUUCUGCUUUCUCCGGGAUUUGAAACUCAGAUCUCAUGAUGUAGAAUUAUUAAUUAACCCUUAGUCAAACCACUGGAUCAAGGGAGCUUCAUCUCAUAGCUAUCUCAUUAAAAAGAUGUUUAGUGAGUUAUAGAUAAUACACAAAUAAGGAAAUCUAGAUAAGAUUAAGAAAUUUGGAUAAGUUUUUUGUUAUCAUAUUACAUUACAUGUAGAAUAAGAAAAUAGUUUAUAUAUAAAUAGUUAAUAUAAUUGUUCUAUAAGAAAACCAUAAAGAGUUUUAGUUUUGACUGAGUUUCUAAAAUGAUCAGAAAAUUGUUCUUAUAAUUUUGGGAAAUUACUCAAAAUGACUCAAAUUAUAUAUGUAAUGACUAGAAUAACUCUUAUAAUUUUGUAUCUACUAGAAUAACUCAUAAGGGAAACAAAAAUACCAAAAAACCAGUCUAAGCUGCCAUUAUAUUUUAUUAAUAGGAAUAAAUUUUAAUUGUGUAAAAGCAAAAAAAAAAAAUAGAAGGUCGACUUCUCUUUCUCUUUCGCAGCCGCAUGGGACGACACCAAAGGAGAUUUUUUCUCCGACACUUCCAUCUCCGAUCUCCGACACCUCUUUCUCCAUCACCACCUUCGAAGGUCACGGCCGUAUAUCAAUUUCUAACACCCCAACCCCAUCUCGUCUUCCUGUUUGUUGUCGUCGACAAACCCUAACCCCACACCACCGAUUUAAGUCACCACCGCAUUCAACUCCCAGAAACUUGAAUCCAUACGGUAUUGGAUUAUGAGGCCAAGGUUAAGACACAUAGGAUCAAAUUCUCAAUUUUUCUCGUGUGGGUGAAACUGACUCAAGACAAGACAAGAGAAAGAGACUGAAACAUGCUCAAGACGGGAAAUGAUCAAGAGUGUGCUGAGAUGGGGAUUGACUGAUCUGAGUUUUUUUCUCUAUUGUAGUUGUGGGGCUUGUAACACUUAGCAUCUUGGAAUGAACGAAAGAAAUUAGAUACCUUGUUGUUCCCUAAAAGUUUAUUGGCAUUGUAAAGAGUUUAAAUUGUUGAUGUCAUCCACAUCCUCUUUUGAGCA